AGCGAACGCUGGCGGCAGGCUUAACACAUGCAAGUCGAGCGGGCACUUCGGUGUCAGCGGCAGACGGGUGAGUAACACGUGGGAACGUACCCUUCGGUUCGGAAUAACGCUGGGAAACUAGCGCUAAUACCGGAUACGCCCUUUUGGGGAAAGGUUUACUGCCGAAGGAUCGGCCCGCGUCUGAUUAGCUAGUUGGUGGGGUAAUGGCCUACCAAGGCGACGAUCAGUAGCUGGUCUGAGAGGAUGAUCAGCCACACUGGGACUGAGACACGGCCCAGACUCCUACGGGAGGCAGCAGUGGGGAAUAUUGGACAAUGGGCGCAAGCCAGAUCCAGCCAUGCCGCGUGAGUGAUGAAGGCCUUAGGGUUGUAAAGCUCUUUUGUCCGGGACGAUAAUGACGGUACCGGAAGAAUAAGCCCCGGCUAACUUCGUG
This 433-nucleotide ribosomal RNA is filed under the name uncultured bacterium. RNAcentral describes it as "partial 16S ribosomal RNA". It matches the Rfam family "Bacterial small subunit ribosomal RNA", at positions 29 to 507 of the family's 1533-position model. The record is from RNAcentral.